Molecule: ribosomal RNA, 406 nt
Filed under: uncultured bacterium
Lineage: Bacteria
Description: partial 16S ribosomal RNA
Rfam family: Bacterial small subunit ribosomal RNA
Source: RNAcentral
GAUGAACGCUAGCUACAGGCUUAACACAUGCAAGUCGAGGGACCGGCGCACGGGUGAGUAACACGUAUCCAACCUGCCCUUUACUCGGGGAUAGCCUUUCGCAAGAAAGAUUAAUACCCGAUUUAAAGGAUGGGGAUGCGUUCCAUUAGGUUGUUGGUGAGGUAACGGCUCACCAAGCCUUCGAUGGGUGGGGGUUCUGAGAAGAAGGUCCCCCACAUUGGAACUAAGGCACGGUCCAAACUCCUACGGGCGGCAGCAGUGGAGAGUAUUAGUGAAUGAGCGCUGGCCUGAACCAGCCAAGUAGCGUGAAGGAUGAAGGGUUAUGAGACGUAAGCUUCUUUUAUAUAAGAAUAUGUAUUAUAUGAAUAAGGAUCGGCUAACUCCGUGCCAGCAGCCGCGGUAAUAC